CCCUUCGGGGUACACGAGCGGCGAACGGGUGAGUAACACGUGGGCAACCUGCCCUACACUCUGGGAUAAGCCCGGGAAACUGGGUCUAAUACCGGAUACGACUUCGUGAGGCAUCUUGCGGGGUGGAAAGUUCCGGCGGUGUAGGAUGGGCCCGCGGCCUAUCAGCUUGUUGGUGGGGUAGUGGCCUACCAAGGCGACGACGGGUAGCCGGCCUGAGAGGGCGACCGGCCACACUGGGACUGAGACACGGCCCAG
RNAcentral lists this ribosomal RNA (255 nucleotides) under uncultured bacterium. Its description in RNAcentral is "partial 16S ribosomal RNA". It matches the Rfam family "Bacterial small subunit ribosomal RNA", at positions 76 to 334 of the family's 1533-position model. The record is from RNAcentral.